This 410-nucleotide ribosomal RNA is filed under the name Verrucomicrobiota bacterium. RNAcentral's name for it is "Verrucomicrobia bacterium partial 16S ribosomal RNA". It matches the Rfam family "Bacterial small subunit ribosomal RNA", at positions 355 to 776 of the family's 1533-position model. Lineage: Bacteria; Pseudomonadati; Verrucomicrobiota. The record is from RNAcentral.
UGGGGAAUCUUGCACAAUGGGCGAAAGCCUGAUGCAGCGACGCCGCGUGCGGGAUGAAGGCCUUCGGGUUGUAAACCGCUUUCAGCAGGGACGAGGCCGCAAGGUGACGGUACCUGCAGAAGAAGCCCCGGCUAACUACGUGCCAGCAGCCGCGGUAAUACGUAGGGGGCAAGCGUUAUCCGGAUUCAUUGGGCGUAAAGCGCGCGUAGGCGGUUUGUUAGGUCAGGAGUUAAAUCUGGGGGCUCAACCCCUAUCCGCUCCUGAUACCGGCAGGCUUGAGUCUGGUAGGGGAAGGCGGAAUUCCAAGUGUAGCGGUGAAAUGCGCAGAUAUUUGGAAGAACACCGGUGGCGAAGGCGGCCUUCUGGGCAACGACUGACGCUGAGGCGCGAAAGCUAGGGGAGCGAACAGG